Non-coding RNA from Vicugna pacos (alpaca), 435 nucleotides. The record is from RefSeq and is a predicted model, not a curated record. NCBI's taxonomy places the organism in Eukaryota, Metazoa, Chordata, Mammalia, Artiodactyla, Camelidae.
UUACCAAUUUGGGCUCCUUCCAGAGCUGAAAACUGAUUAUAAAUAUGAAACAGAUUUCACUACUGGACUUGAACUCCACAUAAAAAGCAAGAAGAUCUUCAAAAUAAUUGAAAAAGGUCCUCACCAAAGAAUAGAUACAAUAUGACUGGCAGGACAUCAAGGAGUAAGAGAUUUGGGUAUGAGCUAUGACACAUAGCAGACAGUGAAAUGUUGAUGGAGUGAAAGAGGAAUCUGUCUCCCUGCAUCGUGGGAACUAUUCUGCGGCCGCAGGGCAGUGUGGAUGAGCCCUGGAAUCCUGCUACCUAUGGAAACUUCAGAAUUUGUUGAUUGUGGACAACAGAGAGUGUCCUCCGGCUUUGGGCUUUUCUUCCUGGUGGUGGCCCUCAAGAAGAAGCCACGUGCGCCCAUUUCAUCUUCAUGCAUUUUCCUCUUUAA